GUUCUUAUUAAAACAGAGAAUGGCUUUUAUAAACUUGGUACUAGAACUGAUAUUUUGAAACAAUUGUAUGCCAAAUCGGAAUUGAGUGUUUGCAAAGAGAGAUUUUUAACGAAAGAAGAUGUCCCUGCUGUAGAAAUACCUUUACGUCAAACAGCAAUCAAACAAUCCCUUGAUACUGGGCAGGGUUUCCGAAAAUGUGACUGCAAAUCGAAAAUGUACCACAAAUAG
Molecule: non-coding RNA, 228 nt
Organism: Pelobates cultripes (western spadefoot toad)
Lineage: Eukaryota; Metazoa; Chordata; Amphibia; Anura; Pelobatidae
Source: the annotation of a GenBank genome assembly